Molecule: ribosomal RNA, 460 nt
Filed under: uncultured bacterium
Lineage: Bacteria
Description: partial 16S ribosomal RNA
Rfam family: Bacterial small subunit ribosomal RNA
Source: RNAcentral
CCUACGGGUGGCAGCAGUGAGGAAUAUUGGUCAAUGGGCGCGAGCCUGAACCAGCCAAGUAGCGUGAAGGAUGACUGCCCUACGGGUUGUAAACUUCUUUUAUAAAGGAAUAAAGUGAGGCACGUGUGCCUUUUUGUAUGUACUUUAUGAAUAAGGAUCGGCUAACUCCGUGCCAGCAGCCGCGGUAAUACGGAGGAUCCGAGCGUUAUCCGGAUUUAUUGGGUUUAAAGGGAGCGUAGAUGGGUUGUUAAGUCAGUUGUGAAAGUUUGCGGCUCAACCGUAAAAUUGCAAUUGAUACUGGCAGUCUAGAGUACAGUUUAGGUAAGCGGAAUGCGUGGUGUAGCGGUGAAAUGCUUAGAGAUCACGAAGAACCCCGAUUGCGAAGGCAGCUUACUAAACUGUGACUGACAUUGAUGCUCGAAAGUGUGGGUAUCAAACAGGAUUAGAUACCCGAGUAGUC